This 301-nucleotide unclassified non-coding RNA is filed under the name Borreliella afzelii. Its description in RNAcentral is "partial contains 5S-23S ribosomal RNA intergenic spacer and 23S ribosomal RNA". The stretch from base 192 to 301 matches the Rfam family "Bacterial large subunit ribosomal RNA", at positions 1 to 110 of the family's 2925-position model. Lineage: Bacteria; Pseudomonadati; Spirochaetota; Spirochaetia; Spirochaetales; Borreliaceae. The record is from RNAcentral.
GUAGGUUAUUGCCAGGGUUUUUAUUUAAUACUUUAAAUCUUGAAUUUAUUUUUUAAAUGUUCAUAUUAUUUGAAUAAGACAUUCAAAUAAUUUGUUAACCCACAUAUAUAUUGACAUGGAUUAAACAAAGAUAUAUAUUAUUCUAUGUUGUAUAAACAAAUUGGCAAAAUAGAGAUGGAAGAUAAAAAUAUGGUCUAAGUAAUAAGAGUCUAUGGUGAAUGCCUAGGAGCUUUAAGGCGAAGAAGGUCGUGGUAAGCUGCGCAAAGCCUGGGGGAAAAGCCAACCUUUUUUAAUCCCAAGA